GAUGAACGCUGGCGGCGUGCCUAAUACAUGCAAGUCGAGCGAACAGACGAGGAUCUUGCUCCGCUGACGUGAGCGGCGGACGGGUGAGUAACACGUGGAUAACCUACCUAUAAGACUGGUAUCACUACGGGAAACCGGCGCUAAUACGGGAUGAUAUAUUGAACCGCAUGGUGCAAUAGUGAGAGACGGCGUUGCUGUCUCUUAUCGAUGCUUCUGGGCCGGAUGAGCUGGUUGGUAAGGUAACGGCUUACCAAGGAAAGCAUGCGUAGACGAGGGGAGAGAGUGAUCGCCGACCCGGGAACUGAGCCGCGCACAAGACUCCUACGGGAGGCAGCAGUAGGGAAUCUUCCGCAAUGGGCGAAAGCCUGACGGAGCAACGCCGCGUGAGUGAUGAAGGUCUUCGGUGCGUAAAACUCUGUUAUUAGGGAAGAACAAAUGUGUAAGUAGCUAUGCACGUCUUGACGGUACCUAGUCAGAAAGCCACGGCUAACUACGUG
Molecule: ribosomal RNA, 497 nt
Filed under: uncultured bacterium
Lineage: Bacteria
Description: partial 16S ribosomal RNA
Rfam family: Bacterial small subunit ribosomal RNA
Source: RNAcentral